AUGCUCUGGGCGGAGGGUGCAGGGGAGGGCACGGCGCCGCUUGCUUGGCCUGCGCACCCGGACCUAGAAGCCGGGACGAGCCGGGGGAGAGCCAGGCGCGCGGAAGUCUGAAGGUGCCCUCCAGACACGGCCCCGAUGACUGAACUACAGCAAGAUGUGGAAGACACAAAGCCUGCGAAAGUGCUCGGGAAGAGGGAGAGCAAACUUGGCUCAGCCCAACAAUCUUGAGGGCCAGCACAGCCUGAGGACUUGCUGACACAAAGUAUUGAUGGGCCAGAGGAAGUGGGCAGCCUGGCUAUCACAUCACCCCAUGUCUGCUGCUGCUCAGCUACCUCUCUCUGAAUGUCUAAAAUGAAGCGGUUUCCUUUCUUCAGCUCAGAGGCUGAGAAUGGUGUGGAGGAGAAAAAGAAAGCCUGCAGGUCGCCAACAGCCCAAUCCCCUACCCCAUCUGUGGAGGCCGAGUCCCCAGACCAGAAGAAAAUCAUUAGCCUACGGUCAAAAUCCAGUUUUGAUGGUGCCUCUUUAGCAAGUGAUAAGAACGAC
This 543-nucleotide small RNA is filed under the name Pongo abelii (Sumatran orangutan). Its description in RNAcentral is "processed transcript". The record is from RNAcentral. Lineage: Eukaryota; Metazoa; Chordata; Mammalia; Primates; Hominidae.